This is a long non-coding RNA of Cynoglossus semilaevis (tongue sole), 3909 nucleotides long. RefSeq lists it as uncharacterized. The record is from RefSeq and is a predicted model, not a curated record. NCBI's taxonomy places the organism in Eukaryota, Metazoa, Chordata, Actinopteri, Pleuronectiformes, Cynoglossidae. The transcript has 2 exons.
AGCGCCUACCGACCGCUUACCGACGCAGCUGCGUCACGGGUAAACGUCUGAUUAGCGCGGCAAAUUUGCACCUAUCUGCACGCCUUGAGAGAAGCACUACUACUAAAGACAACUCCAUAAAAUGAAAUUGAUCAGAAACCACAGAACCACGCUCCAUCUGUACACCUGCACCCUUGACCCCUAGAAGGUCAGCGGGGGAAAAAAACUGUACUUGCAAAAACAUUCCUGUUUGCCAGCAGUAGCUGAGCUCCUACAGCAGGACUGGGAGUCAACCGGGUUCAUUCUGUGUCCAAAUGUCCCAAGUUGACCGGCAGUACCAUGUACUUACAGCAGGGAUCACAGAGGACACCAACAGCCUUCCAACAUGGCCCAGGGUCCAACACUGGACACUGGAUCGAAAACAUCCAAUUGGGAGUCCGUCUUGAAAUUCCCUCUUCCUGUGAUUUCCUUCUGCUGUAGUCUGUCAUUAGCAUCUUUUUCAAGGCAGCUGUAGUUGUGUAUUACUGUAACCACACAGGAUGUUGUCGACAGUACACGCUGUGUUUUACUAUGCAUAGUGUUUCUAUGCACUGACAUGAUGUGUACACAGACUUUAACAAUGGGUUUUGUUUAGCUAUUCCACCGGUGACAUCAGCUGUUUCUUUUCUUGAAGCAGCAUCCAUAAUCCUGCCGCCCAGACAUGCGGCCCACAUCCAUUUAUACCAUAACCCUCCAUCUACACUUCCCCUGUGUGACCACCAAAAAUGCAAUGUGACUUCAUUAACAAUCCCACAUACUUAAAAAUAUUUGGACUUCAUUUACUUUACCUGUGUUUUACAGCUGUUGGAGCCACCACUUCCAUUUUCUUGUGUUUUCUUUGUAGGUGAGGUGAGUGAAGAAAACUUCUGCCAAUCAUUUUCUCGUACAUACACUUCCUUCCUCUCUUUUCCUUAACAUUUGAAAAUAAUACUGAGGUCGCUGGUAAACUAACCCUACAUUUUCAACUCCCCCUCUCUUAUUAUAGCGCCUCAUUUGCCACAGAAGUAGCUGACACCCAUGCUGACUCCAGGAUCCACCUCAGUCACGUCAUGUCAGCAUGGAGGUGAUCUGGUCUGGUUUUCCUGGAAUGUCCUGAGAACCAGAUGUGAUGGAUACUGGAUUUUCUGGAUGGAGAAAAAUAUAAUUUGAGUCAAUAGUUGUGAUACUUUUGUAAUGAAACAGAUUUAUUAAAUCAAAUAAUUGUACAGUAGUAGGGUUAUUGUUGUCCCUUGUGGCUGUUUAAGAUAUUGCUGCACUUCCUGAAAACCUGGUUAGAGAAAAUCACAACAUAAUUGUUAUCAACUGCUCAUAUUUAUUUACAAAAAAGUGAUAGAAAUUGGAAAAAAAAUAAAUGUACAGAAAUGAUCAGGAUCCAAGAGAGCCACAGAAACAAUGAUGAUGCAGAGGUCAGUGAGCUGUAGGAGCAGUGAGAAUAAAAACCAAAGCAGAGUGGCACCGUUUGUGCACAUGGUACCAGUUAGUUGAUGUCCAUUAAGGACAAUGUGGUCUGGAAUAAACUUUACAUUUCACAGUUAAAGGGAGUUUUUUCAUGACACUUCUACCCUGCACUGCAAGGUCACAGUCAGGCUUUAUAUACACACUCAAGACAGAAAACAAAAACUAAAAAAACAAGAGUAAGAGGAGAGUUUGACCAAGUGCAGAGGCCAACAGUGGGUUACACUGUAAGUUAAUAUUUAGUAAGAGAAGGAGGGGAGAAAACUGCAGCCUUCUGGUGGAGAGGCUGGUCGUUACACCCAUGUUGGAGCACAUCCUCAGAGUUUAGACAACGUUGAAAUCUCAGGACAUCUAUUCAGGGUUGUCACCACAGUAAUUGACAGCAUGUCAAAAUAGUCUUUCUGGUGGUGUGUUUGUUUAAAAAAGGUUAACCAGAACAUGAACCAUAAACAACACCAACCUAAAUAUUUUAGAUUUUCAACAUGUACCAGGUUGAGAAAUUCCCCGGAGUUUGGGGCAGAAACAACAGUAAAAAUCUCUUGAUGCAGGCUUAAGCUAAGCUAUAGCCCCUGUAAAACAUAUUGUUGACCUUAGAAAAACUGAGGUACAGAUAUUCAGCACAUACGAAAGUCCUAUGUUUUUUUCAUGAGUCCAAAAUGUCACCUAUUUUGGGAGAAAAAGCUCAAUAAACCAGGAGAUACUUUAGAAUUAUUUAAAUGCAUCUAAAAGUUAGCCCAAAUGCAGCAACAACUAAAGUCAAGUCAAGAACAAUACUAAAUAUUAGUCUCAAAUUUAAAACAGAAAAAGUCAUUGUUUUGUUGAUAAUACAUCCCAGUUACUGCAUCGUUAAACUUGAAAUCCAAAAACAUCAUGAGAUAAGGAUAGGUAAAAUGUAAUGAACAAUAAAAUAAAAGAAUAGUGUAGAGUAAGCAAAGGUUACCAAAAGGAUGACUAAAAGUCAGCCCAGAAAAUUGGCUUAAAUGUAAAUGAAAAAGAAGCGUUAGCCAAAGAAGUUAGCCAAGUUAAUCAAGAUGUUAAAGUGAGCUAAGAUGAUAGAAUAAGGUUUGCCAAUAAUUUUAGUUAGUCAAGAUUCUAUAUACUUAAAUAUUGUCUUUAAAGCUCAAAUAAACUCUAAGCUCAACGUUUGCCGAUCUCACCAAAAAGUAUACCAAAGACAAAUACUUGUUGAAAAAGUUACUUAAUCAAAUAUAACUAAAUAUGACCUGAAGAUAAAAAAAAAGAAAAUGUAAUUGUUAUAUCCCAGUACGUACAUAUAUUCAAAAUAAAAAGAUUCAAUAAAUUUUGUUAUUUUUUAGUAAGAACCACAUUUUAAAGUAGUAGGCUGCAGUUCUUGAGUCAUUUGAAAGCCCGCCUGCCAGAGAGAGCGAGGGAGAGAUGGAGUGUGUGUGAUGUCAUCCAUCUGCAUGGGUAACCUCAUAUUAGAUAGUGGAAGUGUGUGUAUGUGGGUGGGAGAGGGGGCAGAGGGGUGAAAUCUGGUGCCUUUGUGUCUGGCCUUAAGUUCAUGGUUUGAAAAAGAAAAAAAACAAAAAACAAAAAAACAAAACUGUGUUUCUUUUUCCACAUAGGAACCCAGAGGAUCAUUGGAUGGAAAAAGACUCUGUGCAGUUUAACGCUCAGAUUCAAGUGAGAAAGAAACAGAAGCUGCAGCAAAGACAUUCAGCUGACACUUAUCUAAACAACACAAACAAUGAAAUGAUUUUAAAUGGUUGAUUUCCUUAGUGUCAAUUCAUCCAAAAACACCUUGUCAUCGUAGAUCAGGGGAAAACAAUUGUUUGUCGGUUUUUCUCAGUCUAAAACUCUCUGUGGUUUACAGUCCAGAAAGUGGUGUUAUCCGAUGUACAACUCCACCAUUGCAUGUACUGUAUAGAAUGUUUGCUAAUGCUAACAGCCUGUUAAGUUGACGUUGGCAGCAGAUUAAAGGGCAGAGUCUCGGGGACUUGCCCACAGGGUGGAGGUCGGGGUCUAAUCAGAUCUAAUCACUAGGUUAUUAUCAACUUUGUGAAUUGUGGUCGUUAUGAGAAGCAGCUGAUGAUUCAUAACAACAGGGGUCUCCAGUUUAUUCUACCUCCUGGUCACAGACCACUUCACUCUGGUCUGGAGCCCAGUUUAAGGUGUGGUAGACAAAAAAAUGUUAAACCUGAGUGAUUGUUAUCAGGUCAUGAGUUAAUGACGGACAAUGACAUAAUGCUACAUACAUUCACAUGAAAAUGCCAGUGUAUUUUUUUUAAAACAAUGUUGACUUAAGAAGGUGAAGCAAAGCCCGUGGGUCAAUUUGUAACUUAGCGAGUAUCUUAGCAUAUAGUAACAAAGUUUGAAUUAGGAUUUGGCCUAACGUAAAACUUAGCAUUUAGCAUUUAGCUUAGCUCAUAAUCUAGACUGGAAUAGAUCAUAGGACUAGAUUAAAGUAAAAAAAAA